Molecule: long non-coding RNA, 751 nt
Filed under: Nicotiana benthamiana
Lineage: Eukaryota; Viridiplantae; Streptophyta; Magnoliopsida; Solanales; Solanaceae
Description: long non-coding RNA (NBEN_LNC020808)
Source: RNAcentral
CAGUCUUAAAGAGAGCUUUUAAGAAUCAGUAUAAAAUCACCAUGUAAACAGCCAGAAAAACCUUAAGAGAAGAACACAACAUGGUAGGGGAAUGAAAUACUAGAAACAAAAAUUAAAGCAAAGAGCACGGAACUCAAAAAAGAACCCAGAGGAACAUGCAAACAAGCAGAAAAUACAGAUACAAAUAUAUAGAGCUAGGGUUUCAUCAGACUUAAACAAAAAUGUUUUGAGAGUCACAGCUUAGUAUUCAAAGUCAGAAAAAUAAAGUGUUUCCGAAAGGGGUUAAGAAACCCUAGUUUUAGAAGAGGAAUCAAACCGUUUAAAACUUGAAUAAUCAAAGAUAUCAAGUAAUAGGAAGUGUAGAAGACAAAAUUUAAACCAAAAGAAAAUCGCUUAAAAGAUAGAGACCAAAAAGAUUUAGGCAAAAAAUUAGUGUUUGCAAAAUAAAUUAGGGAAAUGAGAAACAUGGCCGUUAAACUCGUAUAUAAUGCCAUAGAAGGCAUCAUCGGACAAAAAACCAUCAGUGAAAAGCCGGAAACAGACCCAAGUGAAGCUUCAGUUUCCUUCUUUCAUGGAGGAAGCUGCUGGGCUUCAAGAUUUAGAGAGAAAACAAUGAUACAAGGAUUCCACAGCUACUAGAGGUCGAGAGAAGUGAGGGAGGAGUAGGGCCGGAGAGACGAUGGACUUCAUCGGAGAAGAAGGAACAAGAAGGUCCUAGAGAGAAGGGAGAGCAUCUAUUAGAGAGAUAGAG